Molecule: ribosomal RNA, 514 nt
Filed under: Colotis danae
Lineage: Eukaryota; Metazoa; Arthropoda; Insecta; Lepidoptera; Pieridae
Description: partial 16S ribosomal RNA
Rfam family: Bacterial large subunit ribosomal RNA (bases 388-514)
Source: RNAcentral
GUCUUUUUGAUAAUAAUUUAAAGUCUAAUCUGCCCACUGAAUAUAAUUUAAAGGGCUGCAGUAUAUUGACUGUACAAAGGUAGCAUAAUCAGUAGUCUUUUAAUUGAAGACUUGUAUGAAUGAUUUGAUGAGAUAUAAACUGUCUCUUUAUAAUAAAUAAAAUUUAAUUUUUUAGUUAAAAAGCUAAAAUAUUUAUAAAAGACGAGAAGACCCUAUAGAGUUUUAUAUUUAAAUUUAUUUGAAUUUUAUAUAAAAUUUUAAAUUUAAAUAAAUUUAAAUAUUUUGUUGGGGUGAUAGAAAAAUUUAUAAAACUUUUUUUAAAAAAUUAACAUUGAUAUAUGAAUUUAUGAUCCAUAAUUUAUGAUUAAAAGAAUAAAUUACCUUAGGGAUAACAGCGUAAUUUUUUUUUUUAGUUCAAAUAAAAAUUAAAGUUUGCGACCUCGAUGUUGGAUUAAGAUAAAAUUUAAAUGCAAAAGUUUAAAAUUUUGAUCUGUUCGAUCAUUAAAAUCUUACA